GCCCACGUAGCUCAGUAGGUAGAGCGUCACCUUGGUAAGGUGGAGGUCACCAGUUCGAUCCUGGUCGCGGGCUCCA
RNAcentral lists this transfer RNA (76 nucleotides) under Clostridium sp. JN-9. Its description in RNAcentral is "tRNA-Thr". It matches the Rfam family "tRNA". From Rfam's summary of the family: Transfer RNA (tRNA) molecules are approximately 80 nucleotides in length. Their secondary structure includes four short double-helical elements and three loops (D, anti-codon, and T loops). Lineage: Bacteria; Bacillati; Bacillota; Clostridia; Eubacteriales; Clostridiaceae. The record is from RNAcentral.